AAAAGACUUAGUCCUAACCUUACUGUUAGCUCGUGCUAAACCUAUACAUGCAAGUAUCCGCGCCCCAGUGUAAAUGCCCUUAGCCUCUUAUUAAGAUGACAGGAGCUGGCAUCAGGCACACCCUUCACGUCCGUAGCCCAAGACGCCUUGCUUAGCCACACCCCCACGGGCACUCAGCAGUAAUUAACAUUAAGCAAUAAGUGUAAACUUGACUUAGUUAUAGCAUACCCUAGGGUUGGUAAAUCUUGUGCCAGCCACCGCGGUCAUACAAGAGACCCAAGCUAACAACGUUCGGCGUAAAGAGCGGGUCCUUACUAUCUAAGUAACUAGGGCUAAAUCGCAACUGAGCCGUCAUAAGCCCAAGAUGUGCCUAAAGCCGCCACCUAAGACGACCCUAGCACCUACGAUUGACUAACCCCCGCGAAAGCCAGGGUCCAAACUGGGAUUAGAUACCCCACUAUGCCUGGCCCUAAAUCUUGAUACUUACCCCACCAAAGUAUCCGCCUGAGAACUACGAGCACAAACGCUUAAAACUCUAAGGACUUGGCGGUGCCCCAAACCCACCUAGAGGAGCCUGUUCUAUAAUCGAUAACCCACGCUGCACCCCACCACUUCUUGCACAUAGCAGCCUACAUACCGCCGUCGCCAGCUCACCUCUUCUGAGAGCUUAGCAGUGAGCACAAUAGCUUUCCCCCGCUAAAAAGACAGGUCAAGGUAUAGCUCACGAAGUGGAAGAAAUGGGCUACAUUUUCUAGAGUAGAAAACUACACGGAAGGGGGCAUGAAAUGGCCCCCGGAAGGCGGAUUUAGCAGUAAACUGGGACAAUAGAGCCCUAUUUAAGCUGGCCCUGGGGCACGUACAUACCGCCCGUCACCCUCCUCGUAGGCCGUAUUCCUCAUAACUAAUAACCCAACAUGCCAAAGAUGAGGUAAGUCGUAACAAGGUAAGUGUACCGGAAGGUGUACUUAGCAUACC
This 975-nucleotide non-coding RNA is filed under the name Haliaeetus albicilla (white-tailed eagle). RNAcentral describes it as "12S ribosomal RNA". It matches the Rfam family "Bacterial small subunit ribosomal RNA". The record is from RNAcentral. Lineage: Eukaryota; Metazoa; Chordata; Aves; Accipitriformes; Accipitridae.